AUCUAACAGAUGAGUCCCGAACAAAACGAAAUGCAUGUCCUGGAU
This is a non-coding RNA of Schistosoma curassoni, 45 nucleotides long. Lineage: Eukaryota; Metazoa; Platyhelminthes; Trematoda; Strigeidida; Schistosomatidae. The record is from Rfam.